GACGAACGCUGGCGGCGUGCCUAAUGCAUGCAAGUAGAACGCUGAAGGAGGAGCUUGCUUCUCUGGAUGAGUUGCGAACGGGUGAGUAACGCGUAGGUAACCUGCCUGGUAGCGGGGGAUAACUAUUGGAAACGAUAGCUAAUACCGCAUAAGAGUAGAUGUUGCAUGACAUUUGCUUAAAAGGUGCAAUUGCAUCACUACCAGAUGGACCUGCGUUGUAUUAGCUAGUUGGUGGGGUAACGGCUCACCAAGGCGACGAUACAUAGCCGACCUGAGAGGGUGAUCGGCCACACUGGGACUGCGACACGGCCCAGACUCCUACGGGAGGCAGCAGUAGGGAAUCUUCGGCAAUGGACGGAAGUCUGACCGAGCAACGCCGCGUGAGUGAAGAAGGUUUUCGGAUCGUAAAGCUCUGUUGUAAGAGAAGAACGAGUGUGAGAGUGGAAAGUUCACACUGUGACGGUAUCUUACCAGAAAGGGACGGCUAACUACGUG
This 495-nucleotide ribosomal RNA is filed under the name uncultured bacterium. RNAcentral's name for it is "partial 16S ribosomal RNA". It matches the Rfam family "Bacterial small subunit ribosomal RNA", at positions 28 to 507 of the family's 1533-position model. The record is from RNAcentral.